GUAAAGUUUGACUCUGGCUGAGUGUUUUCUUUAUGAUGAAAGUGCAUGUAAAUUUGAGUGAGACAAUAUUUACUAGAUCUAAAUGAGGUAAGUAUAAGUUAAUAAAUUUUUUUUAGUAAUUAUUAAAUUCUCAGCAUAUAGUAUUAGUUUAUUAGUUAGAGCUAGAACUAGAAAAUCAUAUAAAAUCUGGCUAAAAUUGUGCCAGCCGCCGCGGUUAUACUGUGAGGUUAAGUGAACAAAUUUUGGUUAAAACAAGUUAUUAUGAUAUUGAAAUAAUAAAAAUGAGGUAUUAGGUAUAAGUGAAACAAAUAACUAAAAUAUUGAGUUUAUAAAAAUUAAUAAAUAAGAGGCUUAAAAGUUUAAGGGAUAAACCAGGAUUAGAUACCCUGCUAUACUUUAAUUAAAAAAAAAUUACCCGGGUAGUAUAUAGUUAUUUUCUUGAAACCCAAAGAGUUUGGCGGUACCUCAGUCUAGUUAGAGGAGCUUGUUCAGUAAUCGAUAAUCCGCGAAAAAUCUUACGCAUUCUUGUAAACAGUUUAUAUACCGUCGUUAUUAGAUAAUGUUAAAAGGCAAAUAAUUAUCCUAAUAUAAUAAAAUAUAAUAUAUCAGAUCAAGGUGUAACUUAUGAGUGCGAGUGGAAUGAGCUACAAUUUAAAUUAUAAAUACGAAAAUUAAUUUUAAAUAUAAUUAAUAGAAGGUGGAUUUAAUAGUAAUUACAUUUUUAGUAAGGAGUAAUGAUGUAAGCUCUGGGGUAUGUACACAUCGCCCGUCGCUCUCACUACAAAGUGAGAUAAGUCGUAACAUAGUAGGGGUACUGGAAAGUGUUCCUAGAAUGCA
RNAcentral lists this non-coding RNA (837 nucleotides) under Taku spinosocarinatus. Lineage: Eukaryota; Metazoa; Arthropoda; Malacostraca; Stomatopoda; Takuidae. The record is from RNAcentral.